This 1355-nucleotide ribosomal RNA is filed under the name uncultured bacterium. Its description in RNAcentral is "bacterial SSU rRNA". It matches the Rfam family "Bacterial small subunit ribosomal RNA", at positions 28 to 1381 of the family's 1533-position model. The record is from RNAcentral.
AUUGAACGCUGGCGGCAGGCUUAACACAUGCAAGUCGAACGAUGAUUAUCUAGCUUGCUAGAUAUGAUUAGUGGCGGACGGGUGAGUAACAUUUAGGAAUCUGCCUAGUAGUGGGGGAUAGCUCGGGGAAACUCGAAUUAAUACCGCAUACGACCUACGGGUGAAAGGGGGCGCAAGCUCUUGCUAUUAGAUGAGCCUAAAUCAGAUUAGCUAGCUGGUGGGGUAAAGGCCCACCAAGGCGACGAUCUGUAACUGGUCUGAGAGGAUGAUCAGUCACACCGGAACUGAGACACGGUCCGGACUCCUACGGGAGGCAGCAGUGGGGAAUAUUGGACAAUGGGGGCAACCCUGAUCCAGCCAUGCCGCGUGUGUGAAGAAGGCCUUUUGGUUGUAAAGCACUUUAAGCAGGGAGGAGAGGCUAAUGGUUAAUACCCAUUAGAUUAGACGUUACCCGCAGAAUAAGCACCGGCUAACUCUGUGCCAGCAGCCGCGGUAAUACAGAGGGUGCGAGCGUUAAUCGGAAUUACUGGGCGUAAAGCGAGUGUAGGUGGCUCAUUAAGUCACAUGUGAAAUCCCCGGGCUUAACCUGGGAACUGCAUGUGAUACUGGUGGUGCUAGAAUAUGUGAGAGGGAAGUAGAAUUCCAGGUGUAGCGGUGAAAUGCGUAGAGAUCUGGAGGAAUACCGAUGGCGAAGGCAGCUUCCUGGCAUAAUAUUGACACUGAGAUUCGAAAGCGUGGGUAGCAAACAGGAUUAGAUACCCUGGUAGUCCACGCCGUAAACGAUGUCUACUAGCCGUUGGGGUCCUUGAGACUUUAGUGGCGCAGUUAACGCGAUAAGUAGACCGCCUGGGGAGUACGGCCGCAAGGUUAAAACUCAAAUGAAUUGACGGGGGCCCGCACAAGCGGUGGAGCAUGUGGUUUAAUUCGAUGCAACGCGAAGAACCUUACCUGGUCUUGACAUAGUGAGAAUCCUGCAGAGAUGCGGGAGUGCCUUCGGGAAUUCACAUACAGGUGCUGCAUGGCUGUCGUCAGCUCGUGUCGUGAGAUGUUGGGUUAAGUCCCGCAACGAGCGCAACCCUUUUCCUUAUUUGCCAGCGGGUUAAGCCGGGAACUUUAAGGAUACUGCCAGUGACAAACUGGAGGAAGGCGGGGACGACGUCAAGUCAUCAUGGCCCUUACGACCAGGGCUACACACGUGCUACAAUGGUAGGUACAGAGGGUUGCUACACAGCGAUGUGAUGCUAAUCUCAAAAAGCCUAUCGUAGUCCGGAUUGGAGUCUGCAACUCGACUCCAUGAAGUCGGAAUCGCUAGUAAUCGCAGAUCAGAAUGCUGCGGUGAAUACGUUCCCGGGCCU